GAUGAACGCUGGCGGCGUGCCUAAUACAUGCAAGUCGAGCGAACGGACGAGAAGCUUGCUUCUCUGAUGUUAGCGGCGGACGGGUGAGUAACACGUGGAUAACCUACCUAUAGGACUGGGAUAACUUCGGGAAACCGGAGCUAAUACCGGAUAAUAUUUUGAACCGCAUGGUUCAAAAGUGAAAGACGGUCUUGCUGUCACUUAUAGAUGGAUCCGCGCUGCAUUAGCUAGUUGGUAAGGUAACGGCUUACCAAGGCAACGAUGCAUAGCCGACCUGAGAGGGUGAUCGGCCACACUGGAACUGAGACACGGUCCAGACUCCUGCGGGAGGCAGCAGUAGGGAAUCUUACGCAAUGGGCGAAAGCCUGACGGAGCAACGCCGCGUGAGUGAUGAAGGUCUUCGGAUCGUAAAACUCUGUUAUUAGGGAAGAACAUAUGUGUAAGUAACUGUGCACAUCUUGACGGUACCUAAUCAGAAAGCCCCGGCUAACUACGUG
This 497-nucleotide ribosomal RNA is filed under the name uncultured bacterium. Its description in RNAcentral is "partial 16S ribosomal RNA". It matches the Rfam family "Bacterial small subunit ribosomal RNA", at positions 28 to 507 of the family's 1533-position model. The record is from RNAcentral.